GUAGUUCCAAAUUUUCAUAUCCUUUAUCUUUAUUUUAUAUUAAAUAUAAUAAUUCUCUAAUGUUAUAAAGAGCUUUUUUUUUUUAGUGUUAUUAAGCCUUCACAUAUUACCUUCAUAGUGCUGGAAAAGCAUGAGUCCGCAGGAGGUUUACACCGUGAGGAGGACUCUUACUUAAGAAUCAUGUAAUUUCUUGAAACUAAAAUUAUUGCUUAAACGGGUUUUUUUUUCAUGCUGAUUUUCC
This 241-nucleotide long non-coding RNA is filed under the name Citrus maxima (pomelo). RNAcentral's name for it is "long non-coding RNA (CMAX_LNC003363)". The record is from RNAcentral. Lineage: Eukaryota; Viridiplantae; Streptophyta; Magnoliopsida; Sapindales; Rutaceae.